This 497-nucleotide ribosomal RNA is filed under the name uncultured bacterium. RNAcentral describes it as "partial 16S ribosomal RNA". It matches the Rfam family "Bacterial small subunit ribosomal RNA", at positions 28 to 507 of the family's 1533-position model. The record is from RNAcentral.
GAUGAACGCUGGCGGCGUGCCUAAUACAUGCAAGUCGAGCGAACGGACGAGAAGCUUGCUUCUCUGAUGUUAGCGGCGGUCGGGUGAGUAACACGUGGAUAACCUACCUAUAAGACUGGGAUAACUUCGGGAAACCGGAGCUAAUACCGGAUGAUAUUUUGAACCGCAUGGUUCAAAAGUGAAAGACGGUCUUGCUGUCACUUAUAGAUGGAUCCGCGCUGCAUUAGCUAGUUGGUAAGGUAACGGCUUACCAAGGCAACGAUGCAUAGCCGACCUGAGAGGGUGAUCGGCCACACUGGAACUGAGACACGGUCCAGACUCCUGCGGGAGGCAGCAGUAGGGAAUCUUCCGCAAUGGGCGAAAGCCUGACGGAGCAACGCCGCGUGAGUGAUGAAGGUCUUCGGAUCGUAAAACUCUGUUAUUAGGGAAGAACAUAUGUGUAAGUAACUGUGCACAUCUUGACGGUACCUAAUCAGAAAGCCACGGCUAACUACGUG